GAUGAACGCUGGCGGCGUGCCUAAUACAUGCAAGUCGAGCGAACGGACGAGAAGCUUGCUUCUCUGAUGUUAGCGGCGGACGGGUGAGUAACACGUGGAUAACCUACCUAUAAGACUGGGAUAACUUCGGGAAACCGGAGCUAAUACCGGAUAAUAUUUUGAACCGCAUGGUUCAAAAGUGAAAGACGGUCUUGCUGUCACUUAUAGAUGGAUCCGCGCUGCAUUAGCUAGUUGGUAAGGUAACGGCUUACCAAGGCAACGAUGCAUAGCCGACCUGAGAGGGGGAUAGGCCACACUGGAACUGAGACACGGUCAAGACUCCUAAGGGAGGCAGCAGUAGGGAAUCUUACGCAAUGGGCGAAAGCCUGACGGAGCAACGCCGCGUGAGUGAUGAAGGUCUUCGGAUCGUAAAAAUCUGUUAUUAGGGAAGAACAGAUGUGUAAGUAACUGUGCACAUCUUGACGGUACCUAAUCAGAAAGCCACGGCUAACUACGUG
RNAcentral lists this ribosomal RNA (497 nucleotides) under uncultured bacterium. Its description in RNAcentral is "partial 16S ribosomal RNA". It matches the Rfam family "Bacterial small subunit ribosomal RNA", at positions 28 to 507 of the family's 1533-position model. The record is from RNAcentral.